ACCUGGAGAUAGCUGGUUCUCUCCGAAAUAGCUUUAGGGCUAGCCUCAAGUGAUGAUUAUUGGU
Molecule: ribosomal RNA, 64 nt
Filed under: Staphylococcus aureus
Lineage: Bacteria; Bacillati; Bacillota; Bacilli; Caryophanales; Staphylococcaceae
Description: partial 23S ribosomal RNA
Source: RNAcentral